GAUGAACGCUGGCGGCGUGCCUAAUACAUGCAAGUCGAGCGAAGCGGGGACGGGGGAGUAACACGUGGAUAACCUCCUAUAAGACUGGGAUAACUUCGGGAAACCGGAGCUAAACCGGAUACGUAUAGAUGGAUCCGAGCUGAAUUAGCUAGUUGGGAAGGUAACGGCUUACCAAGGCAACGAUACAUAGCCGACCCGAGAGGGAGAUCGGCCACACUGGAUCUGAGACACGUCCCAGACUCCUACGGUGGGCAGCAGUAGGGAAUCUUCCGCGAUGGGCGAAAGCCUGACGGUGCAACGCCGCGUGAGUGAUGAAGGUCUUCGGAUCGUAAAACUCUGUUAUUAGUGAAGCGGUACCUAAUCAGUAAGCCCCGGCUAACUACGUGCCAGCAGCCGCGGUAAUUC
This 405-nucleotide ribosomal RNA is filed under the name uncultured bacterium. RNAcentral describes it as "partial 16S ribosomal RNA". It matches the Rfam family "Bacterial small subunit ribosomal RNA", at positions 28 to 526 of the family's 1533-position model. The record is from RNAcentral.